This 68-nucleotide transfer RNA is filed under the name Mesocricetus auratus (golden hamster). It matches the Rfam family "tRNA". Rfam says of the family: Transfer RNA (tRNA) molecules are approximately 80 nucleotides in length. Their secondary structure includes four short double-helical elements and three loops (D, anti-codon, and T loops). Further hydrogen bonds mediate the characteristic L-shaped molecular structure. tRNAs have two regions of fundamental functional importance: the anti-codon, which is responsible for specific mRNA codon recognition, and the 3' end, to which the tRNAs corresponding amino acid is attached (by aminoacyl-tRNA synthetases). tRNAs cope with the degeneracy of the genetic code in two manners: having more than one tRNA (with a specific anti-codon) for a particular amino acid; and 'wobble' base-pairing, i.e. permitting non-standard base-pairing at the 3rd anti-codon position. The record is from Rfam by way of RNAcentral. Lineage: Eukaryota; Metazoa; Chordata; Mammalia; Rodentia; Cricetidae.
UGCAGUACAGUCGCUAGAGCACUUGCCUAACAAGCAUGAGACCCUGGGUUUGAUUCCCAGUACUGUAU